GUCUUUUUGAAAUAAUUUAAAGUCUAAUCUGCCCACUGAUAAAAAUUAAAGGGCUGCAGUAUAAUGACUGUACAAAGGUAGCAUAAUCAAUAGUUUUUUAAUUGGAAACUUGUAUGAAAGAUUUGAUGAAAUAUAAACUGUCUCUAUUUUAUAAAUUGAAUUUUAUUUUUUAGUAAAAAAGCUAAAAUAAAUUUAAAAGACGAGAAGACCCUAUAGAGUUUUAUAUUUAAUUUUAUUUGAAAAUUAUAUAAAAAUUAUUAUUUAAAUAAAAUUAAUUAUUAUGUUGGGGUGACAGAAAAAUUAAAUUAACUUUUUUUAAAAAUUAAACAUAAAUAAGUGAUUAUAUGAUCCAUAAAUAAUGAUUAUAAGAAAAAAUUACCUUAGGGAUAACAGCGUAAUAUUUUUUUUUAGUUCAAAUAAAAAAGAAAGUUUGCGACCUCGAUGUUGGAUUAAGAUAAAAUUUAAAUGCAAAAGUUUAAAAUUUUUGAUCUGUUCGAUCAUUAAAAUCUU
This 510-nucleotide ribosomal RNA is filed under the name Melanargia epimede. RNAcentral's name for it is "partial 16S ribosomal RNA". Lineage: Eukaryota; Metazoa; Arthropoda; Insecta; Lepidoptera; Nymphalidae. RNAcentral also lists the same sequence under 1 other name. The record is from RNAcentral.